GACGAACGCUGGCGGCGUGCCUAAUACAUGCAAGUUGAGCGCUGAAGGUUGGUACUUGUACCCACUGGAUGAGCAGCGAACGGGUGAGUAACGCGUGUGGAAUCUGCCUUUGAGCGGGGGACAACAUUUGGAAACGAAUGCUAAUACCGCAUAAAAACUUUAAACACAAGUUUUAAGUUUGAAAGAUGCAAUUGCAUCACUCAAAGAUGAUCCCGCGUUGUAUUAGCUAGUUGGUGAGGUAAAGGCUCACCAAGGCGAUGAUACAUAGCCGACCUGAGAGGGUGAUCGGCCACAUUGGGACUGAGACACGGCCCAAACUCCUACGGGAGGCAGCAGUAGGGAAUCUUCGGCAAUGGACGAAAGUCUGACCGAGCAACGCCGCGUGAGUGAAGAAGGUUUUCGGAUCGUAAAACUCUGUUGGUAGAGAAGAACGUUGGUGAGAGUGGAAAGCUCAUCAAGUGACGGUAACUACCCAGAAAGGGACGGCUAACUACGUG
This 497-nucleotide ribosomal RNA is filed under the name uncultured bacterium. RNAcentral describes it as "partial 16S ribosomal RNA". It matches the Rfam family "Bacterial small subunit ribosomal RNA", at positions 28 to 507 of the family's 1533-position model. The record is from RNAcentral.